This 71-nucleotide transfer RNA is filed under the name Paludibacteraceae bacterium. RNAcentral describes it as "tRNA-Thr". It matches the Rfam family "tRNA". Rfam says of the family: Transfer RNA (tRNA) molecules are approximately 80 nucleotides in length. The record is from RNAcentral. Lineage: Bacteria; Pseudomonadati; Bacteroidota; Bacteroidia; Bacteroidales; Paludibacteraceae.
GCCGGUGUAGCUUAAAAGUAGAGCGGUUACGUAGUUUGUAACAGAUGGGGGUUCGAAUCCUUUCACCGGCU